Molecule: non-coding RNA, 149 nt
Filed under: human gut metagenome
Source: RNAcentral
CAGGUGUCCUUGUACUUAAAAGAGAAAUCGGUGCAAAGCCGAUGCGGUCACGCCGCUGUAAGGACGAGCGCGCUUCACCAUGUCACUGAACCGGGUUUGGGAAGACGAAGCAGCCAUGACUCCGAGCCAGAAGAACUGCCUGCGUAUUU